Molecule: ribosomal RNA, 939 nt
Filed under: Cellulosimicrobium funkei
Lineage: Bacteria; Bacillati; Actinomycetota; Actinomycetes; Micrococcales; Promicromonosporaceae
Description: bacterial SSU rRNA
Rfam family: Bacterial small subunit ribosomal RNA
Source: RNAcentral
CUUAACACAUGCAAGUCGAACGAUGAUGCCCAGCUUGCUGGGUGGAUUAGUGGCGAACGGGUGAGUAACACGUGAGUAACCUGCCCUUGACUUCGGGAUAACUCCGGGAAACCGGGGCUAAUACCGGAUAUGAGCCGUCCUCGCAUGGGGGUGGUUGGAAAGUUUUUCGGUCAGGGAUGGGCUCGCGGCCUAUCAGCUUGUUGGUGGGGUGAUGGCCUACCAAGGCGACGACGGGUAGCCGGCCUGAGAGGGCGACCGGCCACACUGGGACUGAGACACGGCCCAGACUCCUACGGGAGGCAGCAGUGGGGAAUAUUGCACAAUGGGCGAAAGCCUGAUGCAGCGACGCCGCGUGAGGGAUGAAGGCCUUCGGGUUGUAAACCUCUUUCAGCAGGGAAGAAGCGCAAGUGACGGUACCUGCAGAAGAAGCGCCGGCUAACUACGUGCCAGCAGCCGCGGUAAUACGUAGGGCGCAAGCGUUGUCCGGAAUUAUUGGGCGUAAAGAGCUCGUAGGCGGUUUGUCGCGUCUGGUGUGAAAACUCGAGGCUCAACUUCGAGCUUGCAUCGGGUACGGGCAGACUAGAGUGCGGUAGGGGAGACUGGAAUUCCUGGUGUAGCGGUGGAAUGCGCAGAUAUCAGGAGGAACACCGAUGGCGAAGGCAGGUCUCUGGGCCGCAACUGACGCUGAGGAGCGAAAGCAUGGGGAGCGAACAGGAUUAGAUACCCUGGUAGUCCAUGCCGUAAACGUUGGGCACUAGGUGUGGGGCUCAUUCCACGAGUUCCGUGCCGCAGCAAACGCAUUAAGUGCCCCGCCUGGGGAGUACGGCCGCAAGGCUAAAACUCAAAGGAAUUGACGGGGGCCCGCACAAGCGGCGGAGCAUGCGGAUUAAUUCGAUGCAACGCGAAGAACCUUACCAAGGCUUGACAUGCACGAGAAGC